AUGCGUCGCUUCGAACCCUGCAGACUCCAGGAAGACUGGGCGGGGUUCCAGCCCCAGAGCCGGACGCGAAACAGCCGGGGGGGGGGGGUGGGGGGGGGGCGGGGGGCGGGGCCCGGCCACUGCAGCUCCGGACAGAAGCGGGCGCUGCGGGGCAGGCCAGGACCGCGGCUCCGCCCGCGCCAACCUCUGGGUCCCUGGGCGGAAGCAAACGCGUUUCCAAGAGCCUCACCAGCAUUCCCCGGCAGUUUUCUGGGGGUGAGCAGUGGAGGUCAGUCUCUGAGCAGCGGACAAAAACAUAUUGAGGAGCAGUCAUACCCUGUGUGCCCAGGAACCCAAGGAGGAUGAGCUGGCAGAGGUCCUGAACACAGGCUGCAGGAUGUGCUCUUCUCAGUGACAGUAGGUAAAUAGUAACUGGCUCCCAAAAAAACUGGCCCUGCAAGCCAAUAAAUAGCUGACAGCAUAACCUGAAAAACA
RNAcentral lists this long non-coding RNA (474 nucleotides) under Bos indicus x Bos taurus (hybrid cattle). RNAcentral's name for it is "lncRNA (ENSBIXG00000008344.1)". The record is from RNAcentral. Lineage: Eukaryota; Metazoa; Chordata; Mammalia; Artiodactyla; Bovidae.